RNAcentral lists this ribosomal RNA (163 nucleotides) under Pseudocandona sp. 1 IK-2017. RNAcentral describes it as "partial large subunit ribosomal RNA". Lineage: Eukaryota; Metazoa; Arthropoda; Ostracoda; Podocopida; Candonidae. The record is from RNAcentral.
AUUUGUCCUGUCCAGAAGUAUUACGCUGUUAUCCCUGGGGUAAUUUGUUCUUUAUUCCUUAUAAAGGAUCUCACUGUAUUUAGUGCAAAGUUAAAUUUACUGUCGUCCCAACCAAAUUUAAAUAAAAAAUAAAAUUUUAUAAUAUUUAUUUCUAAAUAAAUAA